Molecule: ribosomal RNA, 301 nt
Filed under: uncultured bacterium
Lineage: Bacteria
Description: partial 16S ribosomal RNA
Rfam family: Bacterial small subunit ribosomal RNA
Source: RNAcentral
CAGUAGCCGCGGUAAUACGAAGGGUGCAAGCGUUACUCGGAAUUACUGGGCGUAAAGCGCGCGUAGGUGGUUCAUUAAGUUGGAUGUGAAAGCCCUGGGCUCAACCUGGGAACUGCAUCCAAAACUGGUGAGCUAGAGUACGGUAGAGGGUAGUGGAAUUUCCUGUGUAGCGGUGAAAUGCGUAGAUAUAGGAAGGAACACCAGUGGCGAAGGCGACUACCUGGACUGAUACUGACACUGAGGCACGAAAGCGUGGGGAGCAAACAGGAUUAGAUACCCCAGUAGUCCCUGUCUCUUAUAC